AUGAACGCUGGCGGCGUGCCUAAUACAUGCAAGGCGAGCGAACAGAUGAGGAGCUUGCUCCUCUGACGUUAGCGGCGGACGGGUGAGUAACCCGUGGAUAACCUACCUAUAAGACUGGGAUAACUUCGGGAAACCGGAGCUAAUACCGGAUAAUAUAUUGAACCGCAUGGUUCAAUAGUGAAAGACGGUUUUGCUGGCACUUAUAGAUGGAUCCGCGCCGCAUUAGCUAGUUGGUAAGGUAACGGCUUACCAAGGGAACGAUGCGUAGCCGACCUGAGAGGGUGGUCGGCCACACUGGAACUGAGACGCGGUCCAGACUCCUACGGGAGGCAGCAGUGGGGAAUCUUCCGCAAAGGGCGAAAGCCUGACGGAGCAACGCCGCGUGAGUGAUGAAGGUCUUCGGAUCGUAAAACUCUGUUAUUAGGGAAGAACAAAUGUGUAAGUAACUAUGCACGUCUUGACGGUACCUAAUCAGAAAGCCACGGCUAACUACGUG
RNAcentral lists this ribosomal RNA (496 nucleotides) under uncultured bacterium. RNAcentral's name for it is "partial 16S ribosomal RNA". It matches the Rfam family "Bacterial small subunit ribosomal RNA", at positions 29 to 507 of the family's 1533-position model. The record is from RNAcentral.